RNAcentral lists this ribosomal RNA (463 nucleotides) under uncultured bacterium. RNAcentral describes it as "partial 16S ribosomal RNA". It matches the Rfam family "Bacterial small subunit ribosomal RNA", at positions 28 to 507 of the family's 1533-position model. The record is from RNAcentral.
GAUGAACGCUGACAGAAUGCUUAACGCAUGCAAGUCUUUGGCGAAGCUGUGCUUGCACAGCCUAGCCAAGGCGGACGGGUGAGUAACGCGUAAGGAACUUGCCCUGCAGUCAGGGAUAACAGACGGAAACGACUGAUAAGACCUGGUAAAGUCAGGCGGACUCAUGUCCAGCCUGAUGAAAAGAGAUGCUGCAGGAGAGCCUUGCGUCCUAUUAGCUUGUUGGUGGGGUAACGGCCCACCAAGGCGAUGAUAGGUAGCCGGCCUGAGAGGGUGGACGGCCACAAGGGGACUGAGAUACGGCCCUUACUCCUACGGGAGGCGGCAGUGGGGAAUAUUGGACAAUGGGGGCAACCCUGAUCCAGCAAUUCUGUGUGCACGAUGAAGGUUUUCGGAUUGUAAAGUGCUUUCAGCAGGGAAGAAAAAAAUGACGGUACCUGCAGAAGAAGCGACGGCUAAAUACGUG